Cataglyphis hispanica is the source of this 1067-nucleotide long non-coding RNA. RefSeq lists it as uncharacterized. Lineage: Eukaryota; Metazoa; Arthropoda; Insecta; Hymenoptera; Formicidae. The transcript has 8 exons. The record is from RefSeq and is a predicted model, not a curated record.
AAGAAUGACUUAACUAUUUAUUGAGUAAUCCAGCUGUCGUUUCCUGUGAUCGCUUCUAACGUCGGCUUCUAAUGCUUCUAACUUCUAAUGCUGCAACUCUCGGAUCUGAAGUCGCAAUUCGGAAUCUUUUCCGCGUCAUAACUCCAGAUUAUUACAAGAAUUUAUCGCUGUCAAAAGACGAAUUGCAGAAGCGAAAGAAUCAAUGCUCGCAGCAUUGGCAUGAGUACGAGAGACCUAAAACACCAGAAGGAUUUUGGGAUCCAGAAUUUCCUGAAACACAGUCGUUGGAAUGUAUAGAACCAGCAUUAAAAAAAGGGCUGCAUUGAUUAGGAGAUCUUAGAAUUGAUAAAUUAAUAAAUGUAUUAUUACAAUUAAAAUAUAUGAAGAGCAAUCAAUCGUUGGGAGGAUGUAACGAUGAAAAGGUACAAUCGUUGGAAGGAUGCAACUAUGAGAAAAUACAAUCGUUGGGAGAAUGCAACGAUGAAAAUGUACAAUUGUUGUGAGGAUUCAACGAUGAAAAUGUACAAUUGUUGGGAGGAUGCAACGAUGAAAAGUUAUAAUUGUUGGAAGAAUGCAACGAUGAAAAGAUUUCUAAAUAUGGAGAAAGCACCACUGUAAACAACCAUAUUUCAAAGAGUCCACUAAUACAUGAACGUGAAAAUGAACCAAAAUCUCGACGUCAUUUAAUCAAAACUACUGCAAUUAUGAGUAAUAAAGUGUGUAAUGAUAAGUUAAAAGAAAAAAAACGUUGCUUAAAGAAAUUUCGAAAUUACAAUCAAGAAUUAAAGAAUUACAGGAACGCAAUAACAAAUUACGAAAUAAACGUAAUGAAAUAAAACAAAAGCUAGAGGAAGCAAUGUCCGAGUUAACAAAUGUAAGAAAACUAAAUGAACGGCGUUGAUCGAUAAAACUAACAAAUGCGAAGCAACGCUUAAAACCAUAUUGACUACCAAUAUCAACAUGCAAUAAAAAUAUAAUUAUAUAUAACUACUUGAGGAUUAAUAUCUAAAUCGUAUUUCUUUUAUAAAUAUUUUAUGUUGAUAAAGAAAUAAAAAUUUUAUUUUAAA